RNAcentral lists this long non-coding RNA (714 nucleotides) under Marmota monax (woodchuck). The record is from RNAcentral. Lineage: Eukaryota; Metazoa; Chordata; Mammalia; Rodentia; Sciuridae.
UCUAGACCCACAGGGCAAAGGUGAACCUCUGCCGAGCUGUUCAAAUUGCAUUGAAUUCCAAACUACAGGGUCCAAAGAGCAGACCCAAACAUGUUUCUGUGAAAAUGUGUUUUCAAACAACAUUCUCCAUUCCCACUGGCCCUCGGCCUACUUCCACUUUGGGGAUCUGGGCAGACUUCUAGAAGCAAACUUCUCACCAAUUACCAAGAGCAAAACAACUCCCAGAAGACAGGAGCUGGGGACGGGCCGAGGAAGGGACAAACCUCUCUUGCAGAGUCCCUGCUCUGUCUCUGGAAGUCCUGAGAACUGGCCUCACGUGGACCCCUCCCCAACUGGCCCCUGGUGUCCUCCCCUUCCCCUCCAGUCCCGCAGCCCCAGCAGCUGACACCAACCCCCCAAACACAGGUCCAGAAACCCCCACAGAGCAAGACAGGGCCACCAGCCUGAGGUCCCUGGGGCCCAGCCAUCCCCGGAUGUCAGUCACCACAGACAGAGCCAGGACUCUUUCCUGGAUGUGCAGGACCCUGUGUCCUGGGGCAUAGUCCUGGGUGUGACUGAGGGUGAGGAGGACAGGGAGGCCCUGCAGACCCUGUCCCUCGCCACACUGUUGGGGACCAAUUCAGAGGAAGAGUGGCAGCCAGGCUCUUCUGACGCUCUGCUCAUGGCUGGGGCUGUGUCCCCAGAUGAUCCCCCCCACACAGAACUGGCCCUUUC